Cyprinus carpio (common carp) is the source of this 2558-nucleotide long non-coding RNA. RefSeq lists it as uncharacterized. The record is from RefSeq and is a predicted model, not a curated record. The transcript is spliced from 4 exons. Lineage: Eukaryota; Metazoa; Chordata; Actinopteri; Cypriniformes; Cyprinidae.
GAUUUUCUACUAAUCAGCUGGUAUUUGGAAAGCAUGAAUUCAGUUCACCACUAGUUGACAGGUGCAGUAGUGGAAUCAAGUUAAUUAGUAACAUGUUCCGCUAACAUUUCAUAACCACAACCGAAGUUUUAACUUAAUGUUAAAUAGUUCUUUAGAAUAUUUAGCCAUUUUUUUCCUUUCAAAAAUAAUUCGCCCCAGUGUUAUAUGAUACGGUUUUAAUACGUUACAGCCAACAACGACAUGCUUCAGUGUGGUUACCGUCCCAAAAGCUUUCAGUGGCUGCUGUAUGAAGUCAUGAACGAGGCCAAACUGACAAGCACUGCAGUAAAAGUCCGAUAAAUUCGAAGUUCCUGUGGAAAACCCCAUUCCUGUCCCACCCAGUGACCCAGUAAUGACUUUAUUCAGAAGCAGAGAUACUUCCGUUUUGUUAAUUAACUGGCCGAGUGAUGGCCACAGUAAUCCCUCAAUCCGGUUCAGACAUGGAUUAUUUAUCCGUCCUGUCAUACGGGAGCGGGGACAACAUGCGUGAAUCCCACACUGAUGUCCUCUGCUCUGCUCCUGCACGACUGCGCCAUAAUCUACAUGUUAUAAUCCAUGCAUGCAUGACGGGGCGUAAUCACACUUCCUCUGCGUUUCCGGCAGGAUUACUCUAUGAGGAAGUGAAGAUUUACACUGUGUGUGUGUGCUGUACAGUUUCUCCAUCUCACAGAAGCUGUCUGAACUGCACAGAGUGAGCUGUUAAAAGUCGGACAAUUCCCACUCUCCCUCUGCUUUUAGUAAGGCAGAACAGGGGAAAAGAUUAAGAGAGCAGUUCACUGAUGGGAAGAGGACGUGGCACAGACCCCCGAGACAUUACUGAGUGACAUCGAAAGACAGUCGAGCCAGAGGAAUCUUGGCAUUGAGACUUAAAGGUGCUGUAUAUGUCCUCAGAGGAAACCAAAAGCACCAGGUAACCAUGUCUCCUCUGAAGAGAAGAAAGCAACCGAGGGACGCGGGAAAAUACAUCCCGAUAUCUACACAGACACACACACACACACACACACACACACAUAGGAGAAUGAACGUGAGGGCGAACAAUGACGUCCGUUCUUUGGGUUCCUGCUCUUCGGUCGGUCAGGUACACAUCAGUGACCCGCUCAUUGAGCUGCUCUGAGAAUCUUCCAUAAUCAAAUGCAAAUAAUGUAAGUAAUACGGAGCAGAACUGCUGGAGUGAGUUUCCACCGGCCUUUAUUCAGACUCAGGGAUGUGGAGGUGGACAAACGCUCAAUGGCUGCGUUUUAAUGGAGAUAAAAUGAGGGUAAAUUGAAAGUAGGAUAUGGUAACCAGGAUACAAAUGGCACAAGGAAAUUAGAAAGUUAUUGAUUCACUGUGUGAAAAAUAUUUAAAUAUUAGAAUGAUCAAUAUAGAGAAUCGACACAACUGUAAUUACAGAGACAAAUCGAAUAUUUAUAAAAUGUCCUUAUGAAUUGCAGCUGUGUAAUUCACAGUAUUUGAUGGAUUUAUUGUGUACAUUUACAAUUAUUAUAUACACACAUUUCUCACUUUUUAUUUAUUCUUUCAUAUAUUUCAAAAAUAGAAUGUAAAAAUAUGUUAAUAUUACAUAAUAUUGUUUCUUUGUGAAGCACAAAAUACUGACUGAACAAUGCAGUGUAAUAUCAGAUUCGACAGAGACAUUUUUAGACUGAACUAUUUUUGCACUGAUAUUAUUUAUGUGAUGAAUAUAAUACAUGAAUAAAAGAAAAAAAAUAUAUGAAAAAAAAAGAUUUAAUAGAUGCAUAUUUCCUGUUAUUUUCUGGCACAAAUGGCUCCCGUGUUUCCUGAGAAUGGCCCAUUUUGAUGGCCAAUCAAGUAAAAGCACAGGAAGUCAUGAUGUAAUAUGGAGAAUUAAUUUGUCGUGACGCACUGACCCCAUGACAAAUCCGCUAAUGCAGUAAAUACUAAUGUAAUAUUACCAGCCGAUAAGCUGGAUUACAGAAAAAACAGUGAAACAGAAAUAAAACCUGGGGAUUUGAAUUAACAAGCUUUCAGAGGCCUUGUUAGUUCCACACGAUAUUGAAGGAUAUUAUGUUCAUGGCACAUACCUCUCCUGUAAAUUUCGUGUAAUUGCAUCAUGGGAUACAUUAAGCUACAACCCAGUAAUCCAGAUAAAGCAUAGAACUUCACUCUAAAACACACAGAAUGGCAAAAAGUGCUUCAAAGUAAAUGAGGUCAGUGAGCAGAAUGGACCUUUCAGUAUAGGCUUUCAGUUAAGUUUUUUGGAAAUUUACUCUAUAAUACCAUACCUCAGAACUUGUACAGUGAUCCUUUAGGCUAAAUUACCUUACACUUCAAGUAUUGACAGCUGGAGCAGUAAGAACAUACCGCUAAAGCACAAAUAUGCACAUGCAUUCACACAUGCACACACAUGCAGUUUGGAAAAACGUCUAACGUGUCUAACGUGUGACAUAGCCUGUAGAUGUAAGACCUGAGCCUACAUCUGAAGGGUUAUGUGGGUCUUCAAGAGUUCAUUGUGAGGCAUGAAAAACAAAUGAAGUCAGUGGGCAAAUGUUUUUGUGAAA